UACGUAGGGUGCGAGCGUUGUCCGGAAUUUUAUUUGGGCGUAAAGAGCUUUGUAGGCGGUUUUGUCGCGUCUGCUUGUGAAAUCUCAAGGCUCAACCUUUGAGCUUUGCAGUGGGUACGGGCAGACUAGAGUGUGGUAGGGGGAGACUGGAAUUUCCUGGUGUAGCGGUUGAAAUGCGCAGAUAUCAGGAGGAACACCGAUGGCGAAGGCAGGUCUCUUGGGCCACUACUGACGCUGGAGAAGCGGAAAGCAUGGGGGAGCGAAC
Molecule: ribosomal RNA, 265 nt
Filed under: uncultured bacterium
Lineage: Bacteria
Description: partial 16S ribosomal RNA
Rfam family: Bacterial small subunit ribosomal RNA
Source: RNAcentral